GAUGAACGCUGGCGGCGUGCCUAAUACAUGCAAGUCGAGCGGACGGACGAGAAGCUUGCUUCUCUGAUGUUAGCGGCGGACGGGUGAGUAACACGUGGAUAACCUACCUAUAAGACUGGGAUAACUUCGGGAAACCGGAGCUAAUACCGGAUGAUAUUUUGAACCGCAUGGUUCAAAAGUGAAAGACGGUCUUGCUGUCACUUAUAGAUGGAUCCGCGCUGCAUUAGCUAGUUGGUAAGGUAACGGCUUACCAAGGCAACGAUGCAUAGCCGACCUGAGAGGGUGAUCGGCCACACUGGAACUGAGACACGGUCCAGACUCCUACGGGAGGCAGCAGUAGGGAAUCUUCCGCAAAGGGCGAAAGCCUGACGGAGCAACGCCGCGUGAGUGAUGAAGGUCUUCGGAUCGUAAAACUCUGUUAUUAGGGAAGAACAUAUGUGUAAGUAACUGUGCACAUCUUGACGGUACCUAAUCAGAAAGCCACGGCUAACUACGUG
This 497-nucleotide ribosomal RNA is filed under the name uncultured bacterium. RNAcentral describes it as "partial 16S ribosomal RNA". It matches the Rfam family "Bacterial small subunit ribosomal RNA", at positions 28 to 507 of the family's 1533-position model. The record is from RNAcentral.